Phrynosoma platyrhinos (Desert horned lizard) is the source of this 72-nucleotide non-coding RNA. The record is from the annotation of a GenBank genome assembly. Lineage: Eukaryota; Metazoa; Chordata; Lepidosauria; Squamata; Phrynosomatidae.
GGCAGUGUGGCAUAGUAGUUUAAAUGUUGGACUAACAGUCUGCAGACCAGGGUUCGAUUCCCAGCUUGGUCA